This 492-nucleotide ribosomal RNA is filed under the name uncultured bacterium. RNAcentral describes it as "partial 16S ribosomal RNA". It matches the Rfam family "Bacterial small subunit ribosomal RNA", at positions 29 to 507 of the family's 1533-position model. The record is from RNAcentral.
AGUGAACGCUGGCGGUAGGCCUAACACAUGCAAGUCGAACGGCAGCACAGUAAGAGCUUGCUCUUACAGGUGGCGAGUGGCGGACGAGUGAGGAAUACAUCGGAAUCUACUUUUUCGUGGGGGAUAACGUAGGGAAACUUACGCUAAUACCGCAUACGACCUACGGGCGAAAGCAGGGGAUCUUCGGACCUUGCGCGAUUGAAUGAGCCGAUGUCGGAUUAGCUAGUUGGCGGGGUAAAGGCCCACCAAGGCGACGAUCCGUAGCUGGUCUGAGAGGAUGAUCAGCCACACUGGAACUGAGACACGGUCCAGACUCCUACGGGAGGCAGCAGUGGGGAAUAUUGGACAAUGGGCGCAAGCCUGAUCCAGCCAUACCGCGUGGGUGAAGAAGGCCUUCGGGUUGUAAAGCCCUUUUGUUGGGAAAGAAAAGCAGCAGGUUAAUACCCCGCUGUUCUGACGGUACCCAAAGAAUAAGCACCGGCUAACUUCGUG